This 428-nucleotide ribosomal RNA is filed under the name uncultured archaeon. Its description in RNAcentral is "bacterial SSU rRNA". It matches the Rfam family "Archaeal small subunit ribosomal RNA", at positions 474 to 903 of the family's 1478-position model. The record is from RNAcentral.
UACCUGCAGCUCGAGUGGUGAUCGUUAUUAUUGGGCCUAAAACGUCCGUAGCCGGUCUUAUAAAUGCCUGGGUAAAUCGUAUGGCUUAACCAUACGAAUUCCGGGUAGACUGUUUGACUUGAGACCGGGAGAAGCUAGAGGUACUCCUUGGGUAGAGGUGAAAUUCUGUAAUCCUAGGGGGACCACCAGUGGCGAAGGCGUCUAGCUAGAACAGGUCUGACGGUGAGGGACGAAGCCCUGGGGCGCAAACGGGAUUAGAUACCCCGGUAGUCCAGGGUGUAAACGCUGCUUGCUUGAUGUUAGUCUGGCUCCGAGCCAGAUUAGUGUCGGAGAGAAGUUGAUAAGCAAGCUGCCUGGGAAGUACGGCCGCAAGACUGAAACUUAAAGGAAUUGGCGGGGAGCACAGCAACGGGUGGAGCGUGCGGUUU